RNAcentral lists this ribosomal RNA (374 nucleotides) under uncultured eukaryote. RNAcentral's name for it is "SSU rRNA". It matches the Rfam family "Eukaryotic small subunit ribosomal RNA", at positions 587 to 972 of the family's 1831-position model. The record is from RNAcentral.
AGCUCCAAUAGCGUAUGCUAAAGUUGUUGCAGUUAAAAAGCUCGUAGUUGGAUUGAACCAGUUUGCCGAGGGGCAGUACUAGAAAUGGUGCAGUCAGGUAGGGAAAUUGGAGAUAGAUUGCUGCAGAGGUCAAAGUCUGUGGCAAGGUUUACUUUGAGUAAAUUAGAGUGAUUCAAGCAACCUCUUGGGGUUUUGAAUAUUUUAGCAUGGGAUAAUAGAAUGAUCAAUUUAGGCAGUAGAGUGAAUGAUUGGUGAAUAAAUUGAUAAUGGUUAAUAGGAGCAGUUGGGGGCAUUUGUAUUUCGUUGCUAGAGGUGAAAUUCUUGGAUUUACGAAAGACAAACUUAUGCGAAAGCAUUUGUCAAACAUGUUUUCA